Molecule: transfer RNA, 69 nt
Filed under: Urocitellus parryii (Arctic ground squirrel)
Lineage: Eukaryota; Metazoa; Chordata; Mammalia; Rodentia; Sciuridae
Also listed under: 2 other names
Description: Spermophilus parryii (Arctic ground squirrel) tRNA
Rfam family: tRNA
About the family: Transfer RNA (tRNA) molecules are approximately 80 nucleotides in length.
Source: Rfam by way of RNAcentral
GGGGUUGUGGCUUAGUGGUAGAGCACUUGCCUAGCACGUGUGUGGCCCUGGGUUCAACCCUCAGCACCA